AACGAACGCUGGCGGCAUGCCUAACACAUGCAAGUCGAACGAGACCUUCGGGUCUAGUGGCGCACGGGUGCGUAACGCGUGGGAACCUGCCCUUAGGUUCGGAAUAACUCCCCGAAAGGGGUGCUAAUACCGGAUAAUGUCUUCGGACCAAAGAUUUAUCGCCUUUGGAUGGGCCCGCGUUGGAUUAGCUAGUUGGUAGGGUAAAAGCCUACCAAGGCGACGAUCCAUAGCUGGUCUGAGAGGAUGAUCAGCCACACUGGGACUGAGACACGGCCCAGACUCCUACGGGAGGCAGCAGUGGGGAAUAUUGGACAAUGGGCGAAAGCCUGAUCAAGCAAUGCCGCGUGAGUGAUGAAGGCGUUAGGGUUGUAAAGCUCUUUUACCCGGGAUGAGAAUGACAGUACCGGGAGAAGAAGCUCCGGCUAACUCCGUG
RNAcentral lists this ribosomal RNA (433 nucleotides) under uncultured bacterium. RNAcentral describes it as "partial 16S ribosomal RNA". It matches the Rfam family "Bacterial small subunit ribosomal RNA", at positions 29 to 507 of the family's 1533-position model. The record is from RNAcentral.